This 75-nucleotide transfer RNA is filed under the name Panacagrimonas perspica. RNAcentral's name for it is "tRNA-Lys". It matches the Rfam family "tRNA". From Rfam's summary of the family: Transfer RNA (tRNA) molecules are approximately 80 nucleotides in length. Their secondary structure includes four short double-helical elements and three loops (D, anti-codon, and T loops). Further hydrogen bonds mediate the characteristic L-shaped molecular structure. tRNAs have two regions of fundamental functional importance: the anti-codon, which is responsible for specific mRNA codon recognition, and the 3' end, to which the tRNAs corresponding amino acid is attached (by aminoacyl-tRNA synthetases). tRNAs cope with the degeneracy of the genetic code in two manners: having more than one tRNA (with a specific anti-codon) for a particular amino acid; and 'wobble' base-pairing, i.e. permitting non-standard base-pairing at the 3rd anti-codon position. Lineage: Bacteria; Pseudomonadati; Pseudomonadota; Gammaproteobacteria; Nevskiales; Nevskiaceae. The record is from RNAcentral. RNAcentral also lists the same sequence under 8 other names.
GGGUUGCUAGCUCAAUGGUAGAGCAGCUGACUCUUAAUCAGUAGGUUCGGGGUUCGAGUCCCUGGCAGCCCACCA